This 174-nucleotide ribosomal RNA is filed under the name uncultured bacterium. RNAcentral's name for it is "partial 16S ribosomal RNA". It matches the Rfam family "Bacterial small subunit ribosomal RNA", at positions 338 to 524 of the family's 1533-position model. The record is from RNAcentral.
CCUACGGGAGGCAGCAGUGGGGAAUAUUGCACAAUGGGCGAAAGCCUGAUGCAGCGACGCCGCGUGAGGGAUGACGGCCUUCGGGUUGUAAACCUCUUUCAGUAGGGAAGAAGCGAAAGUGACGAUACCUGCAGAAGAAGCGCCGGCUAACUACGUGCCAGCAGCCGCGGUAAU